Molecule: unclassified non-coding RNA, 399 nt
Filed under: soil metagenome
Description: partial contains 5.8S ribosomal RNA, internal transcribed spacer 2, and large subunit ribosomal RNA
Rfam family: 5.8S ribosomal RNA (bases 1-122)
Source: RNAcentral
GAUGAAGAACGCAGCGAAAUGCGAUACUUGGUGUGAAUUGCAGAAUCCCGUGAACCAUCGAGUCUUUGAACGCAAGUUGCGCCUCAAGCCAUUAGGUUGAGGGCACGUCUGCCUGGGCGUCACAUAUCGUUGCCUGAUGCCAGUUUCCUCGUGAUGGGUGACUGUGCAGGGCGAAUGAUGGCUUCCCGUGAGCAUUGUUGCCUCAUGGUUGGUUGAAAAUUGAGUCCUUGGUGGGAGCGCCGUGAUAGAUGGUGGUUGAGUGACGAACGAGACCCAAUCAUGUGAGACCCCUACCGAAUUUGGCCUACAUGACCCACAUGCGUCUUUGGAACGCUCAUGACGAGACCUCAGGUCAGGCGGGGCUACCCGCUGAGUUUAAGCAUAUCAAUAAGCGGAGGA